GAUGAACGCUGGCGGCGUGCCUAAUACAUGCAAGUCGAGCGAACAGACGAGGAGCUUGCUCCUCUGACGUUAGCGGCGGACGGGUGAGUAAAACGUGGAUAACCUACCUAUAAGACUGGGAUAACUUCGGGAAACCGGAGCUAAUACCGGAUAAUAUAUUGAACCGCAUGGUUCAAUAGUGAAAGACGGUUUUGCUGUCACUUAUAGAUGGAUCCGCGCCGCAUUAGCUAGUUGGUAAGGUAACGGCUUACCAAGGCAACGAUGCGUAGCCGACCUGAGAGGGUGAUCGGCCACACUGGAACUGAGGCACGGUCCAGACUCCUACGGGAGGCAGCAGUAGGGAAUCUUCCGCAAUGGGCGAAAGCCUGACGGAGCAACGCCGCGUGAGUGAUGAAGGUCUUCGGAUCGUAAAACUCUGUUAUUAGGGAAUAACAAAUGUGUAAGUAACUAUGCACGUCUUGACGGUACCUAAUCAGAAAGCCACGGCUAACUACGUG
RNAcentral lists this ribosomal RNA (497 nucleotides) under uncultured bacterium. Its description in RNAcentral is "partial 16S ribosomal RNA". It matches the Rfam family "Bacterial small subunit ribosomal RNA", at positions 28 to 507 of the family's 1533-position model. The record is from RNAcentral.